This 439-nucleotide ribosomal RNA is filed under the name Chitinophaga sp. RNAcentral describes it as "bacterial SSU rRNA". It matches the Rfam family "Bacterial small subunit ribosomal RNA", at positions 356 to 792 of the family's 1533-position model. Lineage: Bacteria; Pseudomonadati; Bacteroidota; Chitinophagia; Chitinophagales; Chitinophagaceae. The record is from RNAcentral.
AAGGAAUAUUUGUCAAUGGAGGCAACUCUGAACCAGCCAUGCCGCGUGAAGGAUGAAGGUCCUCUGGAUUGUAAACUUCUUUUAUAUGGGAAGAAAUGCAUCCUUUCUAGGGUGUUUGACGGUACCAUAGGAAUAAGCACCGGCUAACUCCGUGCCAGCAGCCGCGGUAAUACGGAGGGUGCAAGCGUUAUCCGGAUUCACUGGGUUUAAAGGGUGCGUAGGCGGAAUUGUAAGUCCGUGGUGAAAUCUCCGAGCUUAACUCGGAAACUGCCGUGGAUACUAUAGUUCUUGAAUACUGUGGAGGUUAGCGGAAUAUGUCAUGUAGCGGUGAAAUGCAUAGAUAUGACAUAGAACACCGAUUGCGAAGGAGCUGGCUACACAGAGAUUGACGCUGAGGCACGAAAGCGUGGGGAUCAAACAGGAUUAGAUACCCCGGGUA